Molecule: ribosomal RNA, 253 nt
Filed under: uncultured bacterium
Lineage: Bacteria
Description: partial 16S ribosomal RNA
Rfam family: Bacterial small subunit ribosomal RNA
Source: RNAcentral
UACAGAGGUCCCAAGCGUUGUUCGGAUUCAUUGGGCGUAAAGGGUGCGUAGGCGGCGGGGCAAGUCUGAUGUGAAAUCCCGGGGCUCAACCCCGGAACUGCAUUGGAUACUGCCUUGCUUGAGUACUGGAGAGGAGACUGGAAUUUACGGUGUAGCAGUGAAAUGCGUAGAUAUCGUAAGGAAGGCCAGUGGCGAAGGCGAGUCUCUGGACAGUUACUGACGCUGAGGCACGAAGGCCAGGGGAGCAAACGGG